CUCACAUCAGAAUAAACCUGAGUGUUUUGAGUAGCUUUCUAUCCACACAGAGCAUCCCCAUUAGAGCUGGGUUUUAUUGUUUGAAAUGCCUCUGGUUUCAGGAAAGUGUUUUACCUAAAGCAAGACUACUACUUAAAUAUGUUCUAUUGUAUAUUCAUAGCUCCAUUAGUCCUUCUCCAAUUUAGCACAUCAAAGGGAAGACUUCAUCACUUGCAUGUGGAUUAUACUAACAUGAGUGACAUUUGUAAUCUUAUAGGUCUGCAACUUAAGAAAUGCUUUUAGAAGCUCGUUAUUAAAUACGCAGCAGUGCUUGAGGAACCAGCCAUAUAAUAGUUCAUUUAAAGUCUUUAAUGACCUUAGCCCUCCACAUCACUAAAUGCCACUCUGCAUUACUUACUAAAAGUUAUUAACUAUCUCCUUUGAAUUUCUACACUAUGUGGGACAUGAGUGCUUAUGCCAAAAAUAUAGAUGCUUGCAUUCUUAUUAACGCAUUUCUUCUUUUCUAUUCUGAAGAGUCCAUGUUCCUUUAAAGUAUCUUAAAGGAAAAAAAUGUAACUAGAACUAGUUCCUAGAAAUUCCCCAAGGAUCUAACUCUAACAGAUAUUAUUUAUAUGAUUUCAUUUUUUUCCUUGCAUUUUCUUUUUAUAAAGCUCUAACAAAAUGAUUCACUUUAACUCUCCACUUUUAAGUUCUCUUACAGGAGGUCUGCAGCUCGAGCAACUGAUUCUUCCUCCCGGCCUGGAAUCUUUCAAAGCAGAAGAUCCCAAAGCAAGCUGACCGCUAGCUGAGAUGUGCCGAGCUAGAGCCCUCUACAGAACCUAUUCCUAUUCUCAAAGAGAGGAUCUGUACUGGGAGCUUUUCUGGAGCAAGAGAAAAUAAAACAAAUGCCAUUUUUAGAAAGAAAAUUAAAAGCAGCAUUGGAAACACACCUGGUUUUAUUAACCUGUGGUAGAAGCUGUAGUUGAGAUCCACUCAGAUAACAAGCCUGGCAAACCAGCCACUACUGGGGAUACUCUGCUGCUGCCCAGAACUAGCAACUAAAUUCUCUCAAGACUACUACAAAAUAAAAUCCAAAUCUUCCCCAAACAUACGGAAAGGCAGAGUCAGGGAAGGAGUGUGAGAGCAAAAGAAAAUAAACAAAUCACACAGCAGACCACAUGAGUCUGAAAGCUCACCAGGAAACGGCUGCUUCACCCCUGGCAGAUGCCUGUAAAGAGCUCCGGGUCCCUGACAACUAAGGGGACUUCAAAAUAGCUACAGGUAUGGUUUAGAAAUGCUGUUUCCUUCAAAAGCUAUCAACCUGGUGAGACGACAAGAUGGUUACGCUACAUUCUUUAACAUGCUUCUCACCAAUACCCAAGGCUUUCCUAUUGAAAAAAGAAAAAAA
This 1387-nucleotide long non-coding RNA is filed under the name Equus asinus (donkey). Its description in RNAcentral is "lncRNA (ENSEASG00005029459.1)". The record is from RNAcentral. Lineage: Eukaryota; Metazoa; Chordata; Mammalia; Perissodactyla; Equidae.